UGGGGAAUAUUGGACAAUGGAGGAAACUCUGAUCCAGCAAUUCUGUGUGUGUGAAGAAGGUUUUAGGACUGUAAAACACUUUUAGUAGGGAAGAAAAAAAUGACGGUACCUACAGAAGAAGCAACGGCUAAAUACGUGCCAGCAGCCGCGGUAAUACGUAUGUUGCGAGCGUUAUCCGGAAUUAUUGGGCUUAAAGGGCAUCUAGGCGGUAAGACAAGUUGAAGGUGAAACCCUGUGGCUCAACCAUAGGCUUGCCUACAAAACUGUUGAACUAGAGUACUGGAAAGGUGGGUGGAACUACACGAGUAGAGGUGAAAUUCGUAGAUAUGUGUAGGAAUGCCGAUGAUGAAGAUAACUCACUGGACAGAAACUGACGCUGAAGUGCGAAAGCUAGGGGAGCAAACAGG
Molecule: ribosomal RNA, 407 nt
Filed under: Verrucomicrobiota bacterium
Lineage: Bacteria; Pseudomonadati; Verrucomicrobiota
Description: Verrucomicrobia bacterium partial 16S ribosomal RNA
Rfam family: Bacterial small subunit ribosomal RNA
Source: RNAcentral